This 1137-nucleotide long non-coding RNA is filed under the name Gallus gallus (chicken). Its description in RNAcentral is "lncRNA (ENSGALG00010001081.1)". The record is from RNAcentral. Lineage: Eukaryota; Metazoa; Chordata; Aves; Galliformes; Phasianidae.
UUUUUUUUUUUUUUUUUUUUUUUAAACGAUGAUGGUGAUCCAAUACUGGAAGAGACACAGAUACACUGUAGGACAUGCAGUCCAUUCUUUGAAAUGUUCAGGACUCUAAAGGACACAGACCUGCCCUAAAUGCAGUGUUGGAUGAGAUGACCUCUGAAGAUGACUUCUAGCCUACCUGGUUCUGCAGCUCCAUGAUUCUGUGUUGCCUGGGCUAAUGCUCCCAAUAUGAAAUGCAUAAUAGCACGAGUCUCUGCCACUGGAAAUUCGAAGGAAAUGAAAAAAAAAACAGCAUGAGCUGCAACACAUCAUAGGUAGCUCAGAAAAGAGUUUCAGUGUGGAACGUUCAGAACGUCGCACGUUUCUUUAUGAGAUCGAAGAACCCUCUGUUAUUGAAUCUCUAUUCUCCAGGCCAAAACCACCAAGCAUGAAUGGUAAAUGCUGUGCUCUUGGUCAUCUGACACUGCACUGAUGCAAUGCAGUCUAUCUCAGACACGACAGAAGGACAGAAGGGAAUAAAAGUGCACUGAAAUGCAAAGAGGAAUGGAGAAAAGUUUCCAGGCUCUAUCUCACUUCUCCUCCCUGAAACCUUUUCAUUGAAAUAUGUUGUGUAGCAUCAGUAAAAUAAAGUAAAAUUCUGGUCUUUUGCCAUGUUCAUAGAGCUGCCUUACAGAAUCUCUGCCGCUGUGUGACAGCCCCUGCUGCUGCCGUCUGCAGCCGGAGACAUCCUUUAGGAGGAAGUGGGAGUUUCUCUUAUGCAGGAGUGGCAGCACUGUGCUCUUAAAAUUGCUUGCCGUCUGGUGGCGAUAAAAGCACUGAGCUCUGUGGCUGAGUUCAAAGCUUUGCAUCAGUGGUUGGAGACAGCAGAAGGCAGGCUGCAGCCUGCAGCCACAGGGAGUCGUGCCCUGGAGAUGGGGACACAGCUCAUACCUCAUCAUCGUGGCCAGUGGGCAGUCAGCAGCUCAGCCUGGCCGCAUGGUCUCCAAAGCUGGGAAGGCAAACCGCAGCAAGCAGCUGGGCAAGCAGAAAAUACAACACAGCAAGGCUUCUUUUGACCUCCUUCUCACUCGCAUGCAAAGCUGCCUUUACCAGAAAAGUCCCUGGGACAGCGCUUCUUUGGCAGUAUUCUCUGAAUUCCUU